GACGAACGCUGGCGGCGUGCUUAACACAUGCAAGUCGAACGGAAAGGCCCUGCUAUUGUGGUGUGCUCGAGUGGCGAACGGGUGAGUAACACGUGAGUAACCUGCCCUUGACUUUGGGAUAACUUCAGGAAACUGGGGCUAAUACCGGAUAGCAGCCCCUGCUCCAUGGUGGGGGUUGGAAAGUUUCGGCGGUUGGGGAUGGACUCGCGGCUUAUCAGCUUGUUGGUGGGGUAGUGGCUUACCAAGGCUUUGACGGGUAGCCGGCCUGAGAGGGUGACCGGCCACAUUGGGACUGAGAUACGGCCCAGACUCGUACGGGAGGCAGCAGUGGGAAAUAUUGCACAAUGGGCGGAAGCCUGAUGCAGCAACGCCGCGUGCGGGAUGACGGCCUUCGGGUUGUAAACCGCUUUCGCCUGUGACGAAGCGUGAGUGACGGUAAUGGGUAAAGAAGCACCGGCUAACUACGUG
RNAcentral lists this ribosomal RNA (468 nucleotides) under uncultured bacterium. Its description in RNAcentral is "partial 16S ribosomal RNA". It matches the Rfam family "Bacterial small subunit ribosomal RNA", at positions 28 to 507 of the family's 1533-position model. The record is from RNAcentral.